This 21-nucleotide non-coding RNA is filed under the name Caenorhabditis elegans. Lineage: Eukaryota; Metazoa; Nematoda; Chromadorea; Rhabditida; Rhabditidae. The record is from RNAcentral.
UUCCGGAGCAUUUUACAACGU